This 372-nucleotide ribosomal RNA is filed under the name uncultured organism. RNAcentral describes it as "partial 16S ribosomal RNA". It matches the Rfam family "Bacterial small subunit ribosomal RNA", at positions 527 to 896 of the family's 1533-position model. The record is from RNAcentral.
GUAGGUGGCAAGCGUUGUCCGGAAUUAUUGGGCGUAAAGCGCGCGCAGGCGGGUUCUUUAAGUCUGAUGUGAAAGCCCACGGGCUCAACCGUGAGGGUCAUUGGAAACUGGAGAACUUGAGUACAGAAGAGGAAAGCGGAAUUCCACGUGUAGCGGUGAAAUGCGUAGAGAUGUGGAGGAACACCAGUGGCGAAGGCGGCUUUCUGGUCUGUAACUGACGCUGAGGCGCGAAAGCGUGGGGAGCAAACAGGAUUAGAUACCCUGGUAGUCCACGCCGUAAACGAUGAGUGCUAAGUGUUAGGGGGUUUCCGCCCCUUAGUGCUGCAGCUAACGCAUUAAGCACUCCGCCUGGGGAGUACGACCGCAAGGUUG